UCCUCCAACAGACUGGUGAAGAGAAGGUUGAGUGAUGAUUUACAUUUGUUCUACUCAAGGUUCAGCCACAAAAGGGAGUAUUCAGACAGCAGAUAUGAACACAUGAACAUCACAAAAUAAGAGGACUUGAGAUACUGAAGCAGCAUCAGCAGGGGCAGUGGGCAGGUGGGGCCAUCUAGAAGUAGCGCUCAUGGAAGGCCCUGAUGACAGGACUGCAUUCACUGCACUACACACACAAGAAGAGGACUAAGUAAAAUAUCCCCAGAGACUCCACUCACUGCACUAUGCACACAACAGAAGACAAGAUAAGAAUAUCAUGCCAAAGUCCUCAGUUCCCCACCCAGUGAAGCUCAAACCCAAGAAACAAACUUACAGGAGUGUAUGACCACCAUUCUCUCU
Scylla paramamosain (green mud crab) is the source of this 399-nucleotide long non-coding RNA. RefSeq lists it as uncharacterized. The transcript has 3 exons. NCBI's taxonomy places the organism in Eukaryota, Metazoa, Arthropoda, Malacostraca, Decapoda, Portunidae. The record is from RefSeq and is a predicted model, not a curated record.